UUUAUGAGUGUACAAAUAAGGCAUAUUAGGAAGUGUAAAUCAAAAAUUGAUACUAACGGUAUUUGUGUUUGAUACCCAAAAAAAUAUCUGUAAUUGUAUUGGCAAAAAGUAUUUUAAAUAAAGAUUGAAGACAAACAUGUACAAUUAGAUUUGGGCAUUCAGAUUUUCAGAUCGGUUUAGAUCGGAUAAUUCAGAUUUCAGAGGGUUUUUUCUGGUUGAGAGGUACAAGAUCUAUUUAAGAACCGGAUGAAUUUUGGAUUAGAUCGAUUCAGUUCUUCUUCCGAUUAGGUCGGUUCUCAAAAUUUAUUUUGAAAUCAGACAUGGAACUUAAAUAUUUUCUGAUUCCGAUUUGGAACCCAAACUACUCAAAAAAAACUGAAACAAUCAUGUGUAUAGAUUGUUUCCAGUUUUAUGGGUCGUUUGGGUUUUGGGGUUUUCAAGUAUUUAUUCAAGUUUUGGAUUUUUUGGGUAUUCAUUGAGAUUUCGGAUUCUACCCCAACCAAACCAAAACUCAAAAAUAUAUAUUUUAGGAUCUAUUCGGAUAAUAUUCACUAUCCAAAAACGAACGGAACCGGAUUUAUUUUAACUCAGUUUCAAUCGGACUUUAGAUUGUAUGCCCAUGCAGGCUGAAUAUCAUUAAAAAAAGGAAAUUUGGAAAACUGACUUACAAAAAAAUUAUAAUUAAGUAACACUACAAAAAAAAAAAUGAUAUUCUUUAUAUUUUAUAUAUUAAUCCCAACUUUAUCCUCUUUCCUUCUCUCUCUCUUUCUCUCUCCCUUCUCCGCCUCUCUCCCUACUUUUUUUCUCUCUCUCCUUCUCUCCCUCUCUCCUUCUCUCUCUCUCCUUCUCUCUCUCCUCUCAGCCUUUCUCCCUACCUCUUUUUUUCAUUCUCUCCAAAUGACCUCUUUGCUUAUUUUUGUUUCUAGUUACAGUUAGUUAAUUACCUUUUUGUGAGAUUUAUUUAGGUUAUAAGCUUUGUUUUUUCUUUUUUGUCUUUUUUGAAACAUAAUUUUGACAUCAAAAUGCAUAUAUGGUUUUAAACUAAUUUAUCACUUAAUCUUUUUGUUCUUCAUAGUUACAGACUCACAACAUAUCUACAAUAAAUUAGGGAUCAUUCUUAAAUGUUGAUAAAUUAGGGAUCAUUCUUAGAUCUAGAAGCGAUAAAUGGUUUACGAUGGUAGAAAUUCUAAAGGAAAAUAGCCAAUAAAUCGAUUUUGUUUUUGGAAGAUUUUUGACAGAUACUAUUCUAUUUUGUGAAUAUACUAUUUACGUAUACCUUGUACUAUAUACAUUUUAAAAUGAAUUGUUUGUUUUGAUUAAGGAUGUUAAGUGAUUUGAUUAGUGUUUUAUAUUAAAAGUCUUGGGUUCCCUAUAUAUUAUCUUAGGGUUUAGUAUUCUUCCAUCAAAAAGUAUUUAAUUGAUUAUUUGGAUUCAUCAGAAGAAACAUUUCUAUUUGAACAAAUAUAUACUAUUCUAUUUUUUUAUGAUGAUAUGUAUAGAACUUGGUACCACUAUUCACUUUUUAAAAAAUUUGUUUCCGAUUUUUAAAAUUCAAAUCAUGUUAGAUAAACA
Molecule: small RNA, 1572 nt
Filed under: Arabidopsis thaliana (thale cress)
Lineage: Eukaryota; Viridiplantae; Streptophyta; Magnoliopsida; Brassicales; Brassicaceae
Description: ATSL104590
Source: RNAcentral